This is a microRNA precursor of Gallus gallus (chicken), 91 nucleotides long. The record is from Ensembl. Lineage: Eukaryota; Metazoa; Chordata; Aves; Galliformes; Phasianidae.
GCUGCGGGCUGGGCAGGGCCCGUGGGGCCCUGGCAUGUGCCGAGCUCAGGGCUUGUCACUGCAGGGCCCCGCGGCCCCUUCCAGCCCUGGC